RNAcentral lists this ribosomal RNA (446 nucleotides) under uncultured bacterium. RNAcentral's name for it is "bacterial SSU rRNA". It matches the Rfam family "Bacterial small subunit ribosomal RNA", at positions 330 to 792 of the family's 1533-position model. The record is from RNAcentral.
ACCAGACUCCUACGGGAGGCAGCAGUGGGGAAUAUUGCACAAUGGGGGAAACCCUGAUGCAGCAACGCCGCGUGGGUGAAGGAGCGUUUCGGCGCGUAAAGCCCUGUCAGCGGGGAAGAAGAAAGACGGUACCCGACCAAGAAGCCCCGGCUAACUACGUGCCAGCAGCCGCGGUAAUACGUAGGGGGCGAGCGUUAUCCGGAAUUACUGGGUGUAAAGGGAGCGUAGACGGCGAGGUAAGCCUGAAGUGGAAGCCCGCGACCCAACCGCGGAACUGCUUUGGGAACUGUUUUGCUGGAGUAUGGGAGGGGUAAGCGGAAUUCCUGGUGUAGCGGUGAAAUGCGUAGAGAUCUGGAGGAAUACCGGUGGCGAAGGCGGCCCCCUGGACGAAGACUGACGCUCAGGUGCGAAAGCGUGGGGAGCAAACAGGAUUAGAUACCCGCGUA